This is an RNA transcript of Ooceraea biroi (clonal raider ant), 2209 nucleotides long. It is a transcript of the gene named mitochondrial fission regulator 2, with no coding region annotated. NCBI's taxonomy places the organism in Eukaryota, Metazoa, Arthropoda, Insecta, Hymenoptera, Formicidae. The record is from RefSeq and is a predicted model, not a curated record.
CUGACACAUCUUAUUACGAGAAUGGACUAUGAUACCGCCCGAAGUGUGCUAAAUUUAUAAACAGCCUGCCCAAAGCUUUCCGAUGAUUUAUAUAAUAAAGGAAAAAAUGAUUCUAUCGGGAGUGCUCGCAUGGGCAUUCUUUUUUAUUUGAUCAAUCACUAAACAACUUUAAACGAGGAAGUAUGAUCGAUCGUGAACAUCUGAUGGGUGAUAUAAAAUAUUACGGAAAAAGGAGAAGCAUCGUAAGGAGAAUUGGGUCCUUUUUACCACUGAAACCACUACCGAAAAUAUAUGUCAGCGUAACACCAUUGCAUUCAAUGACAAGUUCAAUGAUUAACGAAGAAUCCACUAGCAAUUAUGCUGACGCAAAUGGAUAUGAUUCUUCAAGACUUUUCAGCAGUAGGCCAGACCUAUUAGAACCUAUUAGUUUUGGAUCUGAAGUACGAUUGCUUGCACUGGAACAAGAAUUGCAAGAACUUAGGGAACAAAUUUCAACAAUUGUGAAAAAUAAUAAACUGUCUAAACAUGCAUCUAUUGCAUCUUUGUCCAAUAAAGUUGACGAUGGAGAACCUUUGUCAGUACCGCCACCACCUCCGCUUCCGCCACCUACGCCGCAUAUCGCCAGGAGGGCUAGUUUACAAGAUCACAAAAUUGAAGAUCGUAUGAGGAUUUCACUGAGUGUACAAAACUCGACGGGUGAUAUGCUUAAAGAUAUUGACAAUGUAAAAUUGAAGCCAAUUGCAAGCUCUAAUGUUAUUUGGGGGAUAAUGAGAAGAGGAUAAUAUGAGUUUCGAUUGGAGAAGUGCCCAGACAAUGAAAGUACCGAUCUUAAAUCUUAGAUCAUAUACGGAAAGCAAUCUUGAAUCUUGGCUAGUCUGAGCGUUUUGUCAUCGUUUUCGCGCAAAAUGAUGACAAAAGACCACAAAAGACCUACUGCCUUCUAUUGUUUCCGACUGUCUUCAUUAUAUGAGAUCACCGCAAAGCCAUAAGUGGAUUCAGCGAUAUAGCAGCUAUAGAGGAAAGGACUAAAAACGUUAGUCUGGGCAUUACUUUAAACGUCCAGAAGACCUCAAUUUCCUCUUGUCUACAUGUAUCUGUCUAAAUUAUAACAAUUAAAUUAUAUAUGAAUCGACGUGUCCUCAUGAGAAUUUUCAACGCCAUCAAUUUGUACUAUAAUUGAUCACAUAAUACAUUGUCACACGCUGUCUGUAUAUUUAAGAAGAUCGUGUAUUGUUCUUCGAGUUUUUCUCAGAACACGGCAGUCACUAUAAUUUUAUUACAAUGCAUGAAACUUCAAGGUUGUCAUUGUCAUGAUCUUUCUUUUCAUUAUCAUAUACUCCAUGAUUUUGCACAUACAUAUAUGACGUUAAUGAAAUCGGUCUAAAUUUUAUGUUUUCAUCUUUUGGAAUAAAAAUCAUUGAAUAUGACUUGGAAAAGAGCCCAUCUGUAACACCAAAUUGUAAGUUCUUAGUAAUAUUUUCCAAACUUGAGAAAAAAUUUUAAUUAGAUGGUAGUCGAUAUUGUCUAAACCUGAACGUGAUUUCAUUUUAGUAGAUUCUAAGACUUUGUUCAAUUCUAAUUAUGAAAAAGAGGUAUUUAAGAUUCAUCUCUCCUCAUUCUCCAAGAUUCAACUUUUCAAAACGAGGCUCUUCUAUCUCGGCCUAAAGAGAAUACAGUUUCGACAGUCUCGAAUUUUACCUUCUUAAUGCAUUAAACUCAUUGUUGUUGUUAGAUCUGUUCCAUUUGACUUUAACUCUUUUAACAGUAUUUCAAACAUAAGAAAAACUAGAUUCUCUACGAAGGCUAGAAAAAAAGGUUUGAAAAUUCUCUUGAUCCGUUUAAGUUCACAUCACAUUGGUUACCGCUUUUUUAUAUUCUAUAAAAUUUUGAUAAUUCCCUCUGCUUAAAUUUCAAGAGAGUUGCCUUUCUGAAACGUAAUCUGUUGCAUUCUUCUGUCCACCACAAACAGGGUGGUUGAAAUAUUUUAUUACAAGAGAUUCCCGUUUCUCUUUAUUGAAUUCUGGAGUUGGUUUUAACUAGGGCUUCUUCAAUAAUACCUAUGAAGAAAAUAUAGAACAUUUCCAUCUCCAUACGAACUUCCCAUAACUCUGAAGAUCUUUUGAUUUCAGACUCUAUAGUGGACCGAAAAAUCUGUUUCAAUCUGUUUAAAUAGAAUAUACCUAUUAAUAAAUCUAUUCGCUUUUCUCAA